AAAGUGGGUGGUAAACUCCAUCCAAGGCUAAAUACUUGCACGAGUCCGAUAGCGAACAAGUACCGUGAGGGAAAGUUGAAAAGUACUUUGAAGAGAGAGUAAACAGUGCGUGAAACCGCUCAGAGGUAAACGGGUGGAGUUGAACUGCAAGCUCUGGGAAUUCAACUGGUGAGUGUGGUUUUAGCUUGGUAAAAUUGGUGGACAUUGGGGUCUGCGUAGUAGCAGGUCUUCGCCUUCGGGUGGGGAUGCGCGAUGCACUUAUCAAGUGUUGUGCGCCUCAGUGGUCAUACCGACCAACUCGCUAGUGCACUUUCUCAGAGUGUUCACCACGACCGGCGCCGCUGUCUGGCCUCUAUAGUUAAACCGGUUUUGCAUAGUCCUUGUGGCUUUGCUUAGUCGGGACGGCAGGUAGCUCGUUGACUUGCUUGUGGUUCGCUGCAAGCGUGGUUUUCGAGUGUAAUCAGCUGACUGU
Molecule: ribosomal RNA, 472 nt
Filed under: Haematoloechus pulcher
Lineage: Eukaryota; Metazoa; Platyhelminthes; Trematoda; Plagiorchiida; Haematoloechidae
Description: partial 28S ribosomal RNA
Rfam family: Eukaryotic large subunit ribosomal RNA
Source: RNAcentral